UCCUCAUUGGUCCAGUGGUUUAGGAUUUUCGACUUUCACUCGGAAGGCCCGGGUUCGAUUCCCGGAUGAGGAA
Zophobas morio is the source of this 73-nucleotide non-coding RNA. The record is from the annotation of a RefSeq genome assembly. Lineage: Eukaryota; Metazoa; Arthropoda; Insecta; Coleoptera; Tenebrionidae.